AGUCGUAACAAGGUUUCCGUAGGUGAACCUGCGGAAGGAUCAUUACCGAGUGCGGGCUGCCUCCGGGCGCCCAACCUCCCACCCUUGACUACCUAACACUGUUGCUUCGGCGGGGAGCCCUCUCGGGGGCGAGCCGCCGGGGACUACUGAACUUCAUGCCUGAGAGUGAUGCAGUCUGAGUCUGAAUAUAAAAUCAGUCAAAACUUUCAACAAUGGAUCUCUUGGUUCCGGCAUCGAUGAAGAACGCAGCGAACUGCGAUAAGUAAUGUGAAUUGCAGAAUUCAGUGAAUCAUCGAGUCUUUGAACGCACAUUGCGCCCCCUGGCAUUCCGGGGGGCAUGCCUGUCCGAGCGUCAUUGCUGCCCAUCAAGCCCGGCUUGUGUGUUGGGUCGUCGUCCCCCCCGGGGGACGGGCCCGAAAGGCAGCGGCGGCACCGUGUCCGGUCCUCGAGCGUAUGGGGCUUUGUCACCCGCUCGAUUAGGGCCGGCCGGGCGCCAGCCGACGUCUCCAACCAUUUUUUUCAGGUUGACCUCGGAUCAGGUAGGGAUACCCGCUGAACUUAAGCAUAUCAAUAAGCGGAGGA
This 582-nucleotide unclassified non-coding RNA is filed under the name Aspergillus creber. RNAcentral describes it as "sequence contains 18S rRNA gene, ITS1, 5.8S rRNA gene, ITS2, 28S rRNA gene". The stretch from base 202 to 355 matches the Rfam family "5.8S ribosomal RNA". The record is from RNAcentral. Lineage: Eukaryota; Fungi; Ascomycota; Eurotiomycetes; Eurotiales; Aspergillaceae.